UACGGGGGGAGCAAGCGUUGUUCGGAUUUACUGGGCGUAAAGGGCGCGUAGGCGGCCUCCGCAAGUCGACUGUGAAAUCUCUGGGCUUAACCCAGAACGGUCAGCCGAUACUGCGGGGCUAGAGUGCAGAAGGGGCAACUGGAAUUCUCGGUGUAGCGGUGAAAUGCGUAGAUAUCGAGAGGAACACCUGCGGCGAAGGCGGGUUGCUGGGCUGACACUGACGCUGAAGCGCGAAAGCUAGGGGAGCGAACGGG
This 254-nucleotide ribosomal RNA is filed under the name uncultured bacterium. RNAcentral's name for it is "partial 16S ribosomal RNA". It matches the Rfam family "Bacterial small subunit ribosomal RNA", at positions 524 to 776 of the family's 1533-position model. The record is from RNAcentral.